GGGGAGCCGUAAGUAGGCUUUGAUCCGGAGGUCUCCGAAUGGGGGAACCCAGCAUGUGCAGACAUGCUAUCCUUAAGUGAAUACAUAGCUUAAGGAGGGAACACGCAGUGAACUGAAACAUCUAAGUAGCUGCAGGAAGAGAAAGAAAUAUCGAUUUCCCAAGUAGCGGCGAGCGAACAGGAAAGAGCCCAAACCGGCAGAUUUAUCUGCCGGGGUUGUAGGACUGAGACAUGGCACUUCAGAGGAUAGCAGAAGCGUUUGGGAAAGCGCGCCAGAGAGGGUGAGAGCCCCGUAAGCGAAAUCCAAAGGAGGCCUAUCAGUAUCCUGAGUAGGGCGGGACACGUGAAAUCCCGUUUGAAUCCGCGAGGACCAUCUCGCAAGGCUAAAUACUAACCAGUGACCGA
Molecule: ribosomal RNA, 404 nt
Filed under: Lactobacillus delbrueckii subsp. bulgaricus
Lineage: Bacteria; Bacillati; Bacillota; Bacilli; Lactobacillales; Lactobacillaceae
Description: partial 23S ribosomal RNA
Rfam family: Bacterial large subunit ribosomal RNA
Source: RNAcentral